RNAcentral lists this ribosomal RNA (253 nucleotides) under uncultured bacterium. RNAcentral's name for it is "partial 16S ribosomal RNA". It matches the Rfam family "Bacterial small subunit ribosomal RNA", at positions 524 to 776 of the family's 1533-position model. The record is from RNAcentral.
UACGUAGGGGGCUAGCGUUGUCCGGAAUCAUUGGGCGUAAAGAGCGUGUAGGCGGUCCGGUAAGUCCGCUGUGAAAGUCGGGGGCUCAACCCUCGAAUGCCGGUGGAUACUGUCGGGCUAGAGUGCGGAAGAGGCGAGUGGAAUUCCUGGUGUAGCGGUGAAAUGCGCAGAUAUCAGGAGGAACACCUAUUGCGAAGGCAGCUCGCUGGGACGUAACUGACGCUGGGACGCGAAAGCGUGGGGAGCAAACAGG